Gossypium arboreum is the source of this 119-nucleotide non-coding RNA. The record is from Rfam. NCBI's taxonomy places the organism in Eukaryota, Viridiplantae, Streptophyta, Magnoliopsida, Malvales, Malvaceae.
GGGUGCGAUCAUACCAGCACUAAUGCACCGGAUCCCAUCAGAACUCUGCUGUUAGGAGUGCUUGGGCGAGAGUAGUACUAGAAUGGGUGACCUCCUGGGAAGUUCUCGUGUUGCACCCC